UUAAGUUGCUAGGGGUGCCCAAAGGCUGAGAGAUGAUUUUCAUCAACCCUUUUAACCUGAUCUGGAUAAUUCCAGCGUAGGAAAGCUAUUUAUAGAAUAU
Molecule: regulatory RNA element, 100 nt
Organism: Clostridium celatum DSM 1785
Lineage: Bacteria; Bacillati; Bacillota; Clostridia; Eubacteriales; Clostridiaceae
Rfam family: TPP riboswitch aptamer (THI element)
About the family: Vitamin B(1) in its active form thiamin pyrophosphate (TPP) is an essential coenzyme that is synthesised by coupling of pyrimidine and thiazole moieties in bacteria. The previously detected thiamin-regulatory element, thi box was extended, resulting in a new, highly conserved RNA secondary structure, the THI element, which is widely distributed in eubacteria and also occurs in some archaea.
Source: Rfam